CCUACGGGUGGCAGCAGUCGAGAAUCAUUCACAACGGGGGAAACCCUGAUGGUGCGACGCCGCGUGGGGGAAUGAAGGUCUUCGGAUUGUAAACCCCUGUCAUGUGGGAGCAAAUUAAAAAGAUAGUACCACAAGAGGAAGAGACGGCUAACUCUGUACCAGCAGCCGCGGUAAUACAGAGGUCUCAAGCGUUGUUCGGAAUCACUGGGCGUAAAGCGUGCGUAGGCUGUUUCGUAAGUCGUGUGUGAAAGGCGCGGGCUCAACCCGCGGACGGCACAUGAUACUGCGAGACUAGAGUAAGGGAGGGGGAACCGGAAUUCUCGGGGUAGCAGUGAAAUGCGUAGAUAUCGAGAGGAACACUCGUGGCGAAGGCGGGUUCCUGGACAUUAACUGACGCUGAGGCACGAAGGCCAGGGGAGCGAAAGGGAUUAGAUACCCGAGUAGUC
RNAcentral lists this ribosomal RNA (446 nucleotides) under uncultured bacterium. Its description in RNAcentral is "partial 16S ribosomal RNA". It matches the Rfam family "Bacterial small subunit ribosomal RNA", at positions 338 to 795 of the family's 1533-position model. The record is from RNAcentral.